Long non-coding RNA from Aedes albopictus (Asian tiger mosquito), 700 nucleotides. RefSeq lists it as uncharacterized. The transcript is spliced from 3 exons. Lineage: Eukaryota; Metazoa; Arthropoda; Insecta; Diptera; Culicidae. The record is from RefSeq and is a predicted model, not a curated record.
UGAGUCGAAUCCGUCACCCUCAGCUUGGCCUUGCUGAAUAACAGUACACUUAUCGCAUCGUCUACGUGGCUCAUUUUUCCCCUAACAAUUAAGCGUUGCAGUCGCGGUUGGGAAACACUGUUAUAAACAAAUCUUUUUGAACCACUCUCCAUUUUGUUGCUAUUUGAUCAUCUUUGCUUGUUCAAAGCUUCUAUUGUGUCACCGUCAGUCCAGUUGAUCGUUAGUUAUCAUCCUUCAAUUAUUAAAUUCAAUACGUUCAAACACUUUUCGAAAACGACAUUCCAUACCAAUCGGAAGCUCAUCAAGCCGAACUGUAAUAAUCUCAUAGUGUUCUUGUAUCAAUCAUCCUGCAAAACAACAUUGUAAAUUCUACGAUAUUAUAAUGGACAUCUCAAUUCCACAACUGCGCGACCAACUGAGCUCCAUUGCCGGAGUAAGAUCGGUCGUGGAUCUACAAGUGUGGUACUGUAUAGGACUGACAGAAAUGAUCGUAAAGUUGAUAGUUGAUCCAACGGCCGACACGGCGAAAGUUUUAGUCUCUGUCAAUGCCAUUGCCCGGGAUGGAUACGACAUUAGGAGAACUCACGUGCAAAUAGAGAGGGUGCAAGAAGAUUGAAAAUAAAACUAUGAACUCUUGUUUGUGAUGUGGUGUUUGUGCCAUUGAAAAAAAAAUCAGGGAAAAAUGAAUAAAAUUUUACAU